This 72-nucleotide transfer RNA is filed under the name Bos taurus (domestic cattle). It matches the Rfam family "tRNA". From Rfam's summary of the family: Transfer RNA (tRNA) molecules are approximately 80 nucleotides in length. Their secondary structure includes four short double-helical elements and three loops (D, anti-codon, and T loops). Further hydrogen bonds mediate the characteristic L-shaped molecular structure. tRNAs have two regions of fundamental functional importance: the anti-codon, which is responsible for specific mRNA codon recognition, and the 3' end, to which the tRNAs corresponding amino acid is attached (by aminoacyl-tRNA synthetases). tRNAs cope with the degeneracy of the genetic code in two manners: having more than one tRNA (with a specific anti-codon) for a particular amino acid; and 'wobble' base-pairing, i.e. permitting non-standard base-pairing at the 3rd anti-codon position. The record is from Rfam by way of RNAcentral. Lineage: Eukaryota; Metazoa; Chordata; Mammalia; Artiodactyla; Bovidae. RNAcentral also lists the same sequence under 1 other name.
UCCCUGGUGGCUCAGACGGUAAAGCGUCUGCCUGCAAUGCACGAGACCUGAGUUCAAUUCCUGGUUCGGGAA